Mastomys coucha (southern multimammate mouse) is the source of this 12170-nucleotide long non-coding RNA. RefSeq lists it as uncharacterized. Lineage: Eukaryota; Metazoa; Chordata; Mammalia; Rodentia; Muridae. The transcript has 4 exons. The record is from RefSeq and is a predicted model, not a curated record.
UUUUCCUCCUUCCUCUCUCCAUGCAUUCCUCUUCUCUCUUUCUCUCUCUCUCUCCCUCUCUCUCCCUCUGUCUCCCUCUCUCUCCUCCUCCCUCCAUUCUUUUCCUGCACACCUUCUGACUCCAGUCCCUUCUCAACCUCCCUUCCCAUGCCCCAAAUAAACUAUAUUCUAUUUCUAGCCUCAGCAAGGGCCCUCCCACUGCACCAUACUGCGCUCUACAAAACAUAAUGUUUUUUAUGAAACAUCACCCUUCUCCGCUCUCUUUCUUCCUUCCUCCCUCCCUUUCUCUAUUUCUUCUCCACUCCCGCCUGACUGUCCAGGGUUGUCAGCUACUCAAAACAUCAGUGAAAGGAAGUGACUUUUGUUGAUGUGAGGAGACAGGAGUAGGCAAGACUGGUGUUCCGCAGGCAAGCUUCUGCCAGGUGCCUUAUGAAUAUCUCUUCAUGGAUCAGUAAAGACAGCCCACCAUGGUUAAGCCCAAGGUCAUUCAUUCAUCAGGUAGAAGCAAGGGGACAGAUUUGGACACACAUCUACAGCUACAGGGUCCCUGGUAUUCCCCUCAGGCUUUGACUUCUUGUACUUUUUGUUUCAGAAGAGAGCUUAAACCAGGAUUUUCUCCCUUCUUGUGUCCCGGACAGGGUCUGGGUCAUCCUUUUUAAACCUUCUGUGUUGCCCUGAGGAGCUGAGCAGUUGCCAGUAAUGUGCCAACUUUGAGUGUCUCCUGGAGACCAGCUGGUACUUAGGAGAGGGGAGGGCUAGGUGGAGCUGGGGCAAGUGACCUUUUUGGUCUGUGUUGGUUUUAUUUCCCUCCUCCCCUACCCCCUAGAAUUUUUUUCUCCCAAGAAUCUAUCUUAACAGACAUCCUUUUAACAGUCUCCAGUGUCCAACUGCCAAGGACUCGGGUAAGGCAGGAGACGGGAAUACACACCCACAAGCCUAACUGCAUCAGGUUGAGCACUGCUGGCCUCCCUCUGUCUAUGUGGGAGUACUGAGGCAGGAUCUGCCCUUCCCCCUUAAACAAUGGUAACACUACUGAACCCUCCAGUGAGAAAACCUACUGCCAUAACCUUCCGCAGGGCCUUGAGAGUCAGGAAUCUGAGCUGUUACCUUGUUGUGUGCCUGCGCUCUUCCACCUAUACCUCCCCUCAAGACAGCUUUUACAGACCCUUUGGCUUCCCCAAGAGUCAAAUGACAUGUUUCUUUCAGAUAUAAAAUAUAUUGUAAUGACGUGGGCUCCUUAGAACAUGACUUGCGGCUCAGGAGCUCCCAGAUGAGGACUGAAGGACAUUCUGUGCUCUACCACCCCCACUACUGUGUACAUGGGGGGCAGCCAGGGUAGAAGGUCGGAGCUGGGAUAGGACAGACAUGGACAGUAACAGAGUGUGCCAAGAAACAGCUGAGCCAGGGCUGAGGAAGGAAAAAUGAAGAAUGAAACAGAAGCAGAGGUGGAGGAUGAUGGGUAGAGAGUUUGAGGGAGUCAGAGAUGAAGAGUGAGGAGUCUUGGUGGAUAUUCAGACACUUAAGAAUCAGGCAACAUUAUUUAGGGAAGGAGAGGGGGCCAGGGUACACAGAAGAACUCUGGCUAGGUAGCCAAGCUUGGAAGGAUCUGGUUUCAGGGUUGGGGUGGGGAGCAGCACACAAUACUGCCUUGGCCAUGGGUUCUUCAGCCUGGAAUCCCACUUGCUUGAGUUCCUGGAUGCCCACCUGACAUCCAAGGAGCUCCCUGGCCUCCAGAGACCCCAGCGUGCUCACCUUGAUGGCCGAGUGGGUGCUGUGGGGCCAGAGCUUACGGGCCCAGCUUGUGUGCUGCUGAGGGUACUGGGAGGAAAAAAGCACCAGGAGCAGGUGACAUGGGGGGAGGGAAGAGUUCUCACUGCAGCCAUCAAUACAUGAGAAAAGCUUCCUUGUAACAACCAGUCAUUCGGGUUGCAGAGUUUCAGGGGAAAGGUCUCCUUGUUCUAGAUGCAGCCAGGCCUGGUGGCCUAGGGCAUUGCUAUAACUGCAGGCCAGUGCUCACCCAAUUGUAGCAUUUUCUACAAUACCCAACAAGUAGAGAGGGUGUGGGGGAAGGAACAAAGGGAGGGUUCUGGGGAGGCCCCCAGCUGUUGUGAGCUGUGCUCUCCCGCCCUGACCAGAGAGCCACUCAAGCCCUCCUUGUCCUUGGCCUGUCCCUCUGUCCUGUCCCUCCCCCACUCUGAUGAUUUCUGCCUCCAGAUCAGCUUAGAAGUUCUGACAUUUUCUUCUCCCCAGCAAGCCUUGUGACCAUAGGUCAGGACUACAUGAGCAUUGAGGAAUGCUCAACAAAUAUUCAGGGAUGGGACAGGUUGAAUCCGACCCAGUCCUGGAAGGAUAGGAUGAUUAAGCCACCACAUGGAGAAGGAGACGAAACUUCAGAGAGGCUGAGACAUUUCUAAGACCACACAGCAAACUGUGAAUUUUAUUCCUGAAGCAUUUGUCGAGAGCAUCAAAGCCAGUGACAAGUUACACUCUGGAGUAGUACUCCUGGAACUUGCCCUAAUUAGUUCUUUGUCUGCACACUAAGAGUCUAUCUCUGGAGCAAUUUUACUCAGUUUGUAGGACUCCUGGUAAAACAAAACAAAACAAAACAAAACAAAAAACAAAAAACCACUUUCUCUGGGAAGCCUUCUCUAGCCCUGGAAGUCAAGGUUAAACAUGUCCACGUGGUCCUGGAUAGAGACACAUUCAUCAUGUUAUCCUAACCCCGACACAUGGGGCUGACAAAUCAGCCUUUUUGGUGUCCUUUGCGAUUGCUUUUGAAGUUAGCAUAUGACUCAAGACCAAUCAGAUGCUUUACUGAUAUGGAGACUAGGAGAGAGACACUAAAAUCUCUCCAUGGAAAUGCUUCUGUUAAGUCUGGGGCCAAUUCCAUUCAUGUAUCCUUUCCCAAUGGGGAGGGACAUGACCUGCCAGAGGGGGCUGGGCAUCUGGGCAGUGAGUGAAGGGCUGGUCAUUGAAGAGUUAAACAAUGACGAAUGUGCUAUACCGAGAAAGAUGCCACGACUAGGGCUCAGGCAGAUUGGCUUGCUGCUUGUAAGCUUGUGUAGGGGUCUUAGAAUUCUGUCUUUGAAAAAGAGGCAAUGCUAUCUACCCGUUGUGGAAGGGGGCAGGCAGCAGGUCACCCUUUCUCUAAGGGCUGUAGGUUUGAGACCACCCUGCCAUCUUGCUUACAGGGCUCAGUGCCCCCACUCUCGGUUUAUGUUCCUUCUUGGUAUCAUUCCCAUAGGGAUGUUUAGUCUUUCCUCGGAGUCACAGUAACACCACUGCAUCUCUGCUGUCCAUGAUAUCUCUUUGCCUUCUCUUCCUUCCACAGUAUUAGGUAUUAAAUGUAGGGCACUGAACAUGCCAGACUGCUUUGAUACAGAGCUCUAUCCCCUACCCACUCCAGUCUCCACUGCGGCAUUUCAUAAAGGCCCUGCAGGAUCCAGAAUGUCUGUUUCUUUCUGCUGGUUUCCUGGAGCUCUCUGUGACUUUCAGCUCAACCAUGACUUGCCCAGCCAGAGGCAAGGUAGCCAGUGAAAGGAGCCACCUUUCCUAGACUGGGGAUAGACUGUCAAAUAGGGAGGAUCAGAGCAUCUCACCAGUGACUCCAGUGAAGUGAAAACUUCAUCUGCUAAAUUCCGACUCUUGGACCUUCCCUGCCAUCACAAGGACCCCUCUAUCAAAACACUUGGACUGCUUUGUAGAUGGUCUUGAGCUUUUGGCCACCUUCCCUGCUACCUGCAGCCACUCUGUCUAGCCUUUACACUCCUGUCCAGGUAUAGGCACCAGGCAUGUGUGGUGUAUGGUGUACGCCAGAGGGUGUGCAGAGAAUGAAGAAAGGGACUUGUUAUACACUGGCCUUCUUCUCCCUGCACCAAAUCAGCUCCUUCCUCUUUAUUUUGCAUCAUGUUCCCAGAGGACACACCUGGACUUUAGAAUCCACCUGGCUUCUGAAAAUUUAAGCCCUGUUUAUUUCCACAUCAUUCUUGGACAUUUCACAGACUAAGUGUUGUCACUAAAGGUUACCGAUCACCAUCUGUUCUUCCAGGAGCUUCUACUUGUCACCCAUCACUGCUGUGGGUGGGGUGGGAGGUGUUCAUUACUAAGGAUGAAUACUUUGGUAGGGGGUGGGCAGGUGCAACCAGGGAGAACAAGCCUGGAGCAAGGGUCCAAAACCCAGAAAAUCUCAUCUUGAGACCAAAGUCUCAUCUUGAGAUCAGGAGUAAAGAUCCCUCCCUCCCUAUUCUUGGCCUGCAAGCUGUGGAGCAUGUAGCCCUAUGGUCAGUUCAUCCCCACCUGCAGUCCUCUUGGCCAGUUUAUAGGUUUAAGCUCCUGGAAUCCCUCUUUAUGCAAACAACGCACUUGCAGCACUGCAGCCCCAGCCAAUGACUGUCUUUGGAAACCCUGCACACUCCUCAGGGUCUAUAAAGCCCUUGUUACCCACCAUCCCAAAUAAGGAGAGCUAUUGUUGUAUGGAAUAUCAUCUAAGAGAUCUGUUUUACUGAAUACUGUCUAGAAGAGCUGUUCACACACACACACACACACACACACACACACACACACACACACAGACACAUGUACACACACGUACACACAACACUCACUUGGCCAGGCAGAGAUCCAGUAAACCCACUCCUUCCAGUUCCCUUUGUUUUGGCAGAAAUGAUGCCUGAAUACCCCAAGGGCAGAAGCACAGUUGGGGCACACACUUUGGGAGAUGAAAGUACCAUGGGGGCAGUGAUAGGGUGUGAGGGACACAGCUGGGGUGGGGGUGGGGGAAGAAGACAAGACCAAGGUAGAGACAGGCUGUAGAAUAAAAGCUAAGAUUCGAAGGGCCUGUGGAACCCAUGCUGACAGUCCUGCUAUGGAUCAGCCUGGAACCAGGGCCUGUGGAAGGUUACCACUCAUCCCUGCAUAAGCCCUUCCCCUAAAGCCCUGAUAUCUACAGGACAUUAUUAAUGAUGCCACCAAUACAGAGGGAGAUAUGUAGUGAAUAAAUCCAUAAAAAAUAAGGCUGCUAGUGAGAAAAAUUUGUUUUAGUGACAUUUAUUUAAGAAGGAAAUAGCUUAUUUUCAUAAUACCUUGUCUUCAGUGUUGUAUUUUUUUUUUUAACGUGUAGGUACUGAUUGGUUUCUAUCAAACUGACACAAACCUAGACACAUCCAAGAAGAGGGAACCAUGAUUCAGAAAAUGUGUGUAUAAGAUUGGCCUGUAGGCAAGCCUCUGGGGGCUUUUUCUUAAUUAGUGAUUGAUUUGGAAAGUCCCCAGCUCAUUGUGGGUGAAGCUACCCUGGGGCAGGUGGUCCUGGGGUAUAUAACAAAGCAGCUGGGAAAGUCAUGAGAAAGUAAGCCAGCAAGCAGCACAACUCUAUGGCCUGUGCUUUAGUUCCAGCCAUCAGGUUCUCACCAUGGUAUCUCUGUCAUAACUAUCUCUCAACCUCUAUUUUCCUGUCUGUACAUGCCAUCAUCAUGCCUAACCUAAUGGGGAUUAAGUACAAGAAUGCACCUGGACACCUUAGUCAAGACAAAGGGUGUGCUCCAUAAGGGACAAGUGUAGGUAAUGAAGUCCCUCCCCCCACCCCCACCCCCAUCUCUGGGAAUGCCACAUGUACUCCCAACUCUCCCAGGACCCUGUAAUCCUAGAACAAGCCACUCUAAUGAAUGGGCAAUGGAGUGCCCAGAUCUCUACCAAGCAGCUGAAGAAAAGUGGAAGACAUCUGUUCACACAGACCUCCCCUUUCCUUCAACUGGGCUGAGUGGGCAGGGGCAACUUCAAGGGCUGGACAUCUAUUCUUCAGGUAAGCAGUUUGAGUCACCAGAAUUCUCUUUGUUGAAAGUCUAACUGGGGUCAUCAGAGUACCAUCUGAGCCAGAGCAGGACUUUCUGGACUGUCAGGGUUCAUUCCUUAGUCACAGCAGGCCUGCUGAUAACUUGAGUCAUUUCAGGUCAAACAUGAAGGAACGAACUCAUUCAUAGGUCAUGUGAUUUCUGUCAGAGGCAGAUCAUUCAAAACGGCUGCCUCUUGGGACUGGGCUUGAGUAUUUUUUAUCUAGGAAGGUAUAAGAGUCAGAUAUCUGACCAGAGAAGAAAUAAUCACAAUAUGGAUUCUAAUAAGCACAAUUGUUCUGCCAAUUUCAAGCCCCACAUUACCAUUUAAUUCCCCAACUAUCUCGUCCAGUUUCUUUUUUACGAACUACAUUUUUACCAGUGAGCAAAUUGUGACGUAGAAGGAUUAAGCAACUUGCCUGGUGACAGAAUGCCUAGGCAGCAUUGCUGUCUACGUUUGCUGUAACUUAGUUAAGCCAGGAGAGCACGGUAGAAGUGAGGAUGUGUUGGGCAUCUGUGGCCAUGGCCACCUGCCUAACACCCAGAAUCCAGUCUCUCUUUUACUGGUGAGCAUUUUAGGAUGAUCACUUGGGGAAAGAUGUGUGUUUCCCACUCAUUUGUAUAGGGUUGACCCUAGUCUAUGACUCCAUCAUGGCCAAAUGGCCCAGGCCUUGAUGAAGACAGUGCGUGACAUCCACUGAUCACAGAGAUGAGAUCAUCCAUGGGCAGAUAAGAGCUCCCUGAAGAAUGUUCCAGUAAAGAAAAGCUAUCUUUCUGUUGGUCUCUAGUCCAGAUGAAUCAAGAGGGUUUUUAAUUUUUCUUUCCAAGAUAGGGUUUCUGUGGGACAAUGGACCUUGCCAGGAAGCUUGGUAAGGUAAAGGGGGUCAGAAUCCCCAGAAGUUUGGAGUACACACUUGAGACAGAUAGUAGGCAGCUCCCUGUUCCCUGCUAGAUUCCUGGCCUGGAACACAUGCCACACUUCCCACAUAAGGAAAUGUGACCUAUGGUCACAUAGGCCCGGAACAGAGUUCCUCAUGCUAAUGAGUUACCUAGUCACCUUGAGGGUGGAGCCAAUAAACUCCUCUUCCCAGAUAUUCCUCCCUGCAAAAGGUAUUUAAUCUCUGGUCCACCCUGAGAAGUUGGUAUGCAUCCAUUUUUCAUGAUGAACAACCAAUAAACAGUUUGGAACCAAGGACUGUCUCUUUCAUCUACCACCACCAUGGGGAACAUAGAGAAGGCCUUCACCUACAGAGCUGUGCUGCCUAAGUCUUCCGUAGAAGGGCUCCCUGCACUUCCAGACAACUGCCACUACCUUUGCCAAUGAGCUAAGCUGGAGCUCCCAGCCCUAGCCCCAGCGCCCCCAAUAGUCCUGGCCUUGUUACUGGCUCGUGGACCCCUGACACUUUGUUCCCAACUUCUCUGUGUGGGUUUUCUAGCCGUGACUAGAUGUCCGGGAGUCAGGGAAUAUUAGCUUUGGCUUUCCUACAUCCCAAGACUGCAUUUUCUUACCCCCGAGGGGUGUCUCUGUGCAUCCCUGUAGCCCAGCAACCUCCCAGAGGUGGUGGUGGGAUAAACACAGUCAAGCUCCCAGUGUUUUGCCUCCCCAGUAGCUGUGCCCAGCGGAGGGACAGAAUGUGGUCCCACAUCUGGCCCCCACAUCUGUAUUAACAUCCCUGGCUGACGUAGACCAGGCUGGCCUUGAGCUCACAGAUCCACAUGCCUGUGUCUCCCAGGUGCUAGGAAUUAAAGGUAUGUGCCCCCACACCCAGCCUGGAACCUAGAGGGUUUGAGGAUCUCUCUGCUACCCUGUAGGGACAACUCUCCUGUGUGGAUAACUUGCAGGAGGAUGAAGCAACUUGGAGACAGAAUCCUAGGAGUCUCACAGUCAUCCCCAGACUUCUCUAUUCUACAUGUCUUUUAUUUUUUUCUUCAUUGGCCCUCAAGUCCUACCUGAAAUACAGAGGUUUCCCCAUUUACAUAGGUUGGAAAGUUUCAAGUUAAACUCUGUCUCUUCCCCUCCAGAGUUUGAUCUCUAUAAUCCCCAACAGGGCUAAUAGAAUCAGGCCAGCUCCCCAUGUCUUCAGCAACAGCUUCCUUCUGAUGCCAUCUCUACUGAAGCCACCUUGCUGGCACUACCUUCACUGGAGGAAUAGCUACGGAAGAUCUAAGUCCUUGGCAUGGAGCCCAUGGGCAGGCAGCCUUCUGUUGUGAUUGCCUAUGAGAUGUCUUCCAAAAGCUCAUGUGUUGAAGGCUUGGGUUCCAUGCAGUAGUGUUCAGAGGAAACUUCAGAGUUCCCACCUGCCUUUGAGAGCUUUCAAAAGCAAAGGAUUGGUCUCAGCCAUUGGAGGUUUCGGCAUCUUCUUCAAGGAACCGUCCUCCUACUGGCUGUCCACACCUCCAUUAAUUAGACAGACUGCUUUCACUCCAGGAAGAACAGCUGCUUCAGCCUAAGGAAGUGUUGCCAAGCAGUGACUUCAAAUAUCCUCCACCGUGGAAAAAGUGCCAAAGAGUCAGUGAGCAGGCUAGGCGACUCAGCUCUGCAGAUUCCUGAAGUCCUACUGGAAUACAGCAAGCAACUGGGGCCGCUUGCUGACAAGGCCUAAGCUCAGAGAAGGCUGUGCACAUGAUAAGCAUGAGAGAAGGCUCCAGGUCUCUAGGGGAAGCUCAGCAGACGCAGAUGGAUCAACUGGCAAAGUCAAACCUUCCCCUACAGCUGUGCUGAACCUGGGUGUGACAUGAUCUCACCUCUGCUCUGCAGGGCCCUAUUGUUCCUUCCAGCCCCCACUGCUCACUUCCCUGUCUUCCCACCUAAUUCUACACUGCCUUAGCCAAGCAAACCUCCUGAGAGAAGUCUGUUGUCCCUGACUCUGAGGCCGUCUGCGCAGCAUGUAACAAAACUGGUUUGAUAACGAUGAUCUGCCACAGGUUGCUUUUUGCUUUCUGGCCAAAACAAUGGUGUGUUUACCUGCUCCACUGAAAGUGCUCAAUUAAUAUUCUGUGAGUGACUUAUCUGCAGGGCCAUUCCAGAACCAGCUGUAUCACAGGGCGUCUGCAGCCAUUCUGCCUGGGAGAAUGAAGUCUUUCUGGCCUCUGGCUCCCAUUCUUGGGAGGGGAGUAUUAAUGAGAACUGACCUCCCAUGGAGACUGUUUAGGAGUGGCUGGUGCUAUUAUCUAUGUUUCAGUGAUUUCCUCCCACAGGUGCCUAACAGGUGAGAACUGACGCUGAACCAGGAUAUUCAGCCCCUCAUUCCCAUUUUCCAGAUGAGGAAAACAGAUCUUAGUGAGAGGAACUAGCUGGACAGUACAUUAUCAGGAAAUCUCUCAAGACCACAUACCUUUGUCAUAACAUUUCAGCUCAACCUUUUCAGAGAUAAAAUGAAAUUUGUGGCCAGAGAAUAUCCUGCCUUUCUUUAUUCAUUAUUCAAGUAUUUGUAGAACUUGAUGUCCAUCUAGAACAUGUGUGGGUUUAAAAGCUAAUACACCCGGGUGAGUUAAUACAUGUGGAGAUUCUCUGUGGUCAAGGGAUAGCAUCUACAGUGAGUGGUUUCAAAUCCCAGGCUUUUGAACUCUAGAUCUUAUUUUUUGUAUCCACAGCACACAUAACUAAUCAAUCACCACAUGACCUGCACUGAGUGAUAAACCAGCCUUCCCCUCUGUCAGUUGGGCUUGAUCCCCCUCAGAUGAAGUCUCCUCUCUCUCCUCACUGCAGCCUCAGAAGUUAAGUCUCUUCAGUUAUGUAGUUUCCUUUUCUUUCCUUGCUUUCUUUCUCAGGCAUGCUGCUUCUUCAUUUCCCAUCCUCCCUGACUCUAUCAUUAGUUAAAAAAUAUGGACCGAGAAGUAAAGCCCCCUCUGGUCUGGCAGAGACAUACCUGAGACUCAGGGCUCACUCUUCACGUUGAAGGGGUGAUGAGUUAGCUGUUGAUACCUUGAGUCUUGACCUAGCCAACUGCCUCUCUGGCCUGGCUGCUGAAGAGCAGCCUUCUGGUUCCUGGGGGGCUGGAGGGGGUGGUUGUGGCCCUCGCUAGACAGUUGCUCUCAGAUGCAGCUGCCUAGAGGGAGUGACAGGCCAGGUCUUGGGCUCCUUGGGAGGGUAGCUGCUCCCAGCCCUACCCAUGCUGAGCGCUGCUUGGAAGAGACUUGCCAUAAACCCUCCCUGCCUCAUUAAACACCCUUACCAGGAAGGAGGAAGUUUAAUCUAGAUCUCUCUGCAGAGGAAAUGAAGCUGAAGUCUGGUAGGGGCAUGGGCAAGGCUGUGCCUGUUUUCUUCUGACUACAGCAACUCCAGCAACUCCAGCCUUCCCAGGUGACACUUGGGUGCAAGCACAAACAACUUUGGAGCGGAUUCCCCCUGCCCCAAAUCAAAUAAUAAAACAAAAACCACUUAAGUGGUGCUAAACCGUCCAGGGUCUGAGUGAGGUUGAGGUAGGUACGGUGAGCCAGCACAUGGGCCUGUGAGGGUGCUGAGCCCACGUAGGGAAAGAGGGGCUCUUGGGUUAAAAAAGAGGGUCAACAGGGAAAGGAGGUGGCAUGGGAGAAAGACUGGGUUUGGGUUGGAGCACAAUGAAUUAUAGAUUAAAACUGGAGGUGGACAGAGGAAGCAGGGAAAAGCACAGUGAAAGAAUAUAUGUCCCCAGGUUCAUUGGGAGGGAGUUAACAUUCCUAGGCUUUGUCACCAACGUAGACUUACAUUUUUUAUAUAUCUCUUUAGGGUACGCUAUUGUCCAGAGGGACUUUUGGUCCUUAUACACUUGGGCCAGCGUGGGGUUGGGGCUUCCCCAUCUGUUAACCCCAAUUUCUCCCCAAAAGGGUGUGAGACCCCCCUUUGGGUUGAGUAUCUUGGGACAUAAGGUACAGCAGCUGGUUUGGAAAUAAAGACAAGUGCCAGGAGAUAGUGGCAGGAAAGAGCAGGGGGCAGUCCCUGUUGGGGAGGGGGACGAAUCUUAGGCCAGCAGAGUAGGGCAGGGUAUGUGUUCAUGUUCUGAAUGUUGUUGCUCCAGACACCUCUGGGACUCAGGGAUGGGGACAGUGGUGGGGAUGCCUUCCUCAAAGCAAAUAAACAAGAAAAGCAUUUAAAAUGGUGGCAAGUUACAAACUUGUUUAGAGGUGACGUAUGAGGCAGCUUCUCUAAUUACAGAGCCUUGAGGGUGCUGUGACAAGUGACCUGCAGGCUUGGUGGCUUCAAACAGGAGAAGCUGUUUCAGAAGGGGAAUACCAGUGAGGUGCCACACUGUGCUUCAGGAAGCAGCAAGGUCAAAGGGAUCCAGUUCCCAAGGAUGUUCUUCAGCUCAGCGUGGCAGGCUGCCACAUUUUGAGGCUUCCCAUUGGUUACAUCCUCCGGUGUGUGAAUGUAGGUUUAACAUACGGAGAUGUUCUUUGAGUGUGGAUUGAGCUAAGAUCUUCCCACGUCACCAGUGCCUUUCCCCCAGGGCAGGGUAGACAUCCUGAAGACCUGAAGAGGAAGCAGAUCAUCUUUAUGGCUGAUUUAGAGCUUUUAAAAAUUGGAGUUUAUGACUAUUGUUCUUUCAUUGCCCAAAGAGUGUUUGCUCUUCCUAGCUUCUUGGCGGCUGGGUCAGCUGGAGUCUUAACCUCCGGCAAUGGAGUCUAACUUACAGUAGGCAGAAGUACAGGGUGGAUGAACUAGAAUUUCUGUCCCAGAAACAGCCUUGAGUAGGAGACUCCAUCAGGGAUGGAGGCCUUAUUGUAGGGCACCUUAGAGAAGGUACAUAUGGCACAAUUUGGAGGUUUACUUCUCUGGUUCUCUCUAGGCACCCUAGUAAUUGGGAGAGGAGGCUGGCCCUUGGGUUUGAGCGAUCCCUAAAGCAUUCAGCUCUCUAUUUAUCAAUAAAACAUAUUUAAUGGAUACCUUCCCUGGAUUAGAAACCAGACUGGGCCUACAAAACACAACAGAAAGGAAAAAUAUACCCAUCAGUUUCCUGAUACAGCUCAGGGGAGGCACUACCAGAUGGUUCUGCUCUUUGUCUUUUGCUUCCUCCCUCCCUCCCCCCUUCCUUCCUUCCCUCCCUCUCUUCUUCUUCUGUCUGACCCUUAGACUUAUUGUAUUUUAUUUCCCCUGUAUCAAUGGUUUCUAUUUCUGAAGUCUCAGUUACUUAUAGUCAACUUGAAGUAUUACAUGAAAACAUACUCAGAGAGAAAGAACAAGAACAAGAGCAGAGGGACAAAGGAAACACAUUUAAAUAUUUUAUUAUAGUGUAUUAUAACUGCUCCUUGUUCUUAGUAUCUGUGUCUGGAGAGGAGCUCUUCUUCCUCAUGCAUUUAUGGGACAAAAAGCCCAAUAAAUAGGGUGUGCUACUCUCCAUGAUUUUAGAUAUCUCUGAUGGUCCUGGA